Molecule: ribosomal RNA, 497 nt
Filed under: uncultured bacterium
Lineage: Bacteria
Description: partial 16S ribosomal RNA
Rfam family: Bacterial small subunit ribosomal RNA
Source: RNAcentral
GAUGAACGCUGGCGGCGUGCCUAAUACAUGCAAGUCGAGCGAACAGACGAGGAGCUUGCUCCUCUGACGUUAGCGGCGGACGGGUGAGUAACACGUGGAUCACCUACCUAUAAGACUGGGAUAACUUCGGGAAACCGGAGCUAAUACCGGAUAAUAUAUUGAACCGCAUGGUUCAAUAGUGAAAGACGGUUUUGCUGUCACUUAUAGAUGGAUCCGCGCCGCAUUAGCUAGUUGGUAAGGUAACGGCUUACCAAGGCAACGAUGCGUAGCCGACCUGAGAGGGUGAUCGGCCACACUGGAACUGAGACACGGUCCAGACUCCUACGGGAGGCAGCAGUAGGGAAUCUUACGCAAUGGGCGAAAGCCUGACGGAGCAACGCCGCGUGAGUGAUGAAGGUCUUCGGAUCGUAAAACUCUGUUAUUAGGGAAGAACAAAUGUGUAAGUAACUAUGCACGUCUUGACGGUACCUAAUCAGAAAGCCACGGCUAACUACGUG